Molecule: small nuclear RNA, 305 nt
Filed under: Octodon degus (degu)
Lineage: Eukaryota; Metazoa; Chordata; Mammalia; Rodentia; Octodontidae
Description: 7SK RNA (ENSODEG00000022834.1)
Rfam family: 7SK RNA
About the family: 7SK was discovered as an abundant small nuclear RNA in the mid-70s but a possible function has only recently been suggested.
Source: Rfam by way of RNAcentral
GGAUGUGAGGGUGAUCUGGCUGCGACAUCUGCCACCCCAUUGAUCGCCAGGGUUGAUUUGGCUGAUCUGGCUGGCGAGGCGGGUGUCCCCUUCCUCCCUCAAUGAUCCAUGUGCAUCCCUCCCUAAGCUGCACACUCGGUCAAAGAGGACGACCACCCCCGAUGGAGGAGGACCAUUCCUCGGUCAAGGGUAUAUGAGUAGCUGCACUCCCCUGCUAGAACCUCCAAACAAGCUCUCAAAAUUAUAUAAUAUGUAUAACUAAGCUGGCGGUAAUUAAAAGAUUAAACUUAUUUAUUUAUUUAUUU